This 759-nucleotide ribosomal RNA is filed under the name Virgibacillus sp. RNAcentral's name for it is "bacterial SSU rRNA". It matches the Rfam family "Bacterial small subunit ribosomal RNA", at positions 87 to 835 of the family's 1533-position model. The record is from RNAcentral. Lineage: Bacteria; Bacillati; Bacillota; Bacilli; Caryophanales; Bacillaceae.
UGGAACGAGCGGCGGACGGGUGAGUAACACGUGGGCAACGUGCGUGUAAGAUCGGGAUAACUCGUGGAAACGCGAGCUAAUACCGGAUGAUACUUUUCAUCGCGUGGUGAGAAGUUGAAAGAUGGCUUUAUGCUAUCACUUACAGAUGGGCCCGCGGCGCAAUAUCUAGUUGGUGGGGUAAGGGCCUACCAGGGCAACGAUGCGUACCCGACCUGAGAGGGUGAUCGGCCACACUGGGACUGACACACGGCCCACACUCCUACGGGAGGCAGCAGUAGGGAAUCUUCCGCAGUGGACGAAAGUCUGACGGAGCAACGCCGCGUGAGUGAUGAAGGUUUUCGGAUCGUAAAACUCUGUUGUCAGGGAAGAACAAGUGCCGUUUGAAUAAGGCGGCACCUUGACGGUACCUGACCAGAAAGCCCCGGCUAACUACGUGCCAGCAGCCGCGGUAAUACGUAGGGGGCAAGCGUUGUCCGGAAUUAUUGGGCGUAAAGCGCGCGCACGCGGUCUUUUAAGUCUGAUGUGAAAGCCCACGGCUUAACCGUGGAGGGUCAUUGGAAACUGGAAGACUUGAGUGCAGAAGAGAGAGUGGAAUUCCGUGUGUAGCGGUGAAAUGCGUAGAGAUAUGGAAGCACACCAGUGGCGAACGCGACUCUCUGGUCUGCACUGACGCUGACGCGCGAAAGCGUGUGUAGCGACAGGAUAGAUACCCUGAUAGUCCACGCGUACACGAUGAGUGCUAGUGUUAGGGGUUUCGCC